CUGGCUCAGGAUGAACGCUAGCGGCAGGCUUAACACAUGCAAGUCGAGGGGCAUCGGGAGUAGCAAUACUGCCGGCGACCGGCGCAAGGGUGCGUAACGCAUGAGCAACAUGCCCGUAUCAGGGGGAUAAUCCAUGGAAACGUGGUCUAAAUACCCCAUAGUAAUUAUGUAAGGCAUCUUAUAUAAUUUAAAGCUUUGGUGGAUACGGAUUGGCUCGCGUGACAUUAGCUAGAUGGUAAGGUAACGGCUUACCAUGGCUACGAUGUCUAGGGGUUCUGAGAGGAAGGUCCCCCCACACUGGAACUGAGACACGGUCCAGACUCCUACGGGAGGCAGCAGUGAGGAAUAUUGGACAAUGGAUGGAAAUCUGAUCCAGCCAUGCCGCGUGCAAGGAAGACCGGCCCUAUGGGUUGUAAACUGCUUUUGUAUGGGAGCAAUAAGGGCUACGCGUAGUCCGAUGAGAGUACCAUACGAAUAAGCACCGGCUAACUCCGUGCCAGCAGCCGC
This 507-nucleotide ribosomal RNA is filed under the name uncultured bacterium. Its description in RNAcentral is "bacterial SSU rRNA". It matches the Rfam family "Bacterial small subunit ribosomal RNA", at positions 19 to 518 of the family's 1533-position model. The record is from RNAcentral.